RNAcentral lists this ribosomal RNA (463 nucleotides) under Flavobacterium sp. KB87. RNAcentral describes it as "bacterial SSU rRNA". It matches the Rfam family "Bacterial small subunit ribosomal RNA", at positions 1 to 469 of the family's 1533-position model. The record is from RNAcentral. Lineage: Bacteria; Pseudomonadati; Bacteroidota; Flavobacteriia; Flavobacteriales; Flavobacteriaceae.
UAGAGUUUGAUUCCAUGGCUCAGGAUGAACGCUAGCGGCAGGCUUAACACAUGCAAGUCGAGGGGUAUAGUUCUUCGGAAUUAGAGACCGGCGCACGGGUGCGUAACGCGUAUGCAAUCUACCUUUUACAGAGGGAUAGCCCAGAGAAAUUUGGAUUAAUACCUCAUAGUAUAAUGACUUGGCAUCAAGACAUUAUUAAAGUCACAACGGUAAAAGAUGAGCAUGCGUCCCAUUAGCUAGUUGGUAAGGUAACGGCUUACCAAGGCUACGAUGGGUAGGGGUCCUGAGAGGGAGAUCCCCCACACUGGUACUGAGACACGGACCAGACUCCUACGGGAGGCAGCAGUGAGGAAUAUUGGACAAUGGGCGCAAGCCUGAUCCAGCCAUGCCGCGUGCAGGAUGACGGUCCUAUGGAUUGUAAACUGCUUUUAUACGAGAAGAAACACUACUUCGUGAAGUAGCU